AACGAACGCUGGCGGCGCGCCUAAUACAUGCAAGUCGAGCGAGAAGACGUAGCAAUACGUUUGUAAAGCGGCGAACGGGUGAGGAAUACAUGGGUAACCUACCCUCGAGUGGGGAAUAACUAGCCGAAAGGUUAGCUAAUACCGCGUACGCUCCUUGGACUUCGGUUCAGGGAGGAAAGCGAUACCGUGGGUAUCGCGCUCUUGGAUGGGCUCAUGUCCUAUCAGCUUGUUGGUGAGGAACGGCUCACCAAGGCUUCGACGGGUAGCUGGUCUGAGAGGGCGAUCAGCCACACUGGCACUGCGACACGGGCCAGACUCCUACGGGAGGCAGCAGUAAGGAAUAUUGCGCAAUGGGCGAAAGCCUGACGCAGCGA
RNAcentral lists this ribosomal RNA (374 nucleotides) under uncultured bacterium. RNAcentral's name for it is "bacterial SSU rRNA". It matches the Rfam family "Bacterial small subunit ribosomal RNA", at positions 29 to 394 of the family's 1533-position model. The record is from RNAcentral.